AUUGAACGCUGGCGGCAGGCUUAACACAUGCAAGUCGAGCGGGGGAAGGUAGCUUGCUACUGGACCUAGCGGCGGACGGGUGAGUAAUGCUUAGGAAUCUGCCUAUUAGUGGGGGACAACAUCUCGAAAGGGAUGCUAAUACCGCAUACGUCCUACGGGAGAAAGCAGGGGAUCUUCGUACCUUGCGCUAAUAGAUGAGCCUAAGUCGGAUUAGCUAGUUGGCGGGGUAAAGGCCUACCAAGGCGACGAUCUGUAGCGGGUCUGAGAGGACGAACCGCCACACUGGGACUGAGACACGGCCCAGACUCCUACGGGAGGCAGCAGUGGGGAAUAUUGGACAAUGGGGGGAACCCUGAUCCAGCCAUGCCGCGUGUGUGAAGAAGGCCUUAUGGUUGUAAAGCACUUUAAGCAAGGAGGAGGCUACUCUAGUUAAUACCUAGGGAUAGUGGACGUUACUCGCAGAAUAAGCACCGGCUAACUCUGUGCCAGCCGCCGCCGUAA
Molecule: ribosomal RNA, 501 nt
Filed under: uncultured bacterium
Lineage: Bacteria
Description: partial 16S ribosomal RNA
Rfam family: Bacterial small subunit ribosomal RNA
Source: RNAcentral